AUUGAACGCUGGCGGCAUGCCUUACACAUGCAAGUCGAACGGCAGCGCGGGGCAACCUGGCGGCGAGUGGCGAACGGGUGAGUAAUAUAUCGGAACGUACCCUGGAGUGGGGGAUAACGUAGCGAAAGUUACGCUAAUACCGCAUACGAUCUAAGGAUGAAAGUGGGGAUCGCAAGACCUCAUGCUCCUGGAGCGGCCGAUAUCUGAUUAGCUAGUUGGUGGGGUAAAGGCCUACCAAGGCAUCGAUCAGUAGCUGGUCUGAGAGGACGACCAGCCACACUGGAACUGAGACACGGUCCAGACUCCUACGGGAGGCAGCAGUGGGGAAUUUGGACAAUGGGCGCAAGCCUGAUCCAGCAAUGCCGCGUGAGUGAAGAAGGCCUCGGUUGUAAAGCUCUUUUGUCAGGGAAGAAACGGUGAGGGCUAAUAUCCCUUGCUAAUGACGGUACCUGAAGAAUAAGCACCGGCUAACUACGUGCCAGCAGCCGCGGUAAUACGUAGGGUGCAAGCGUUAAUCGGAAUUACUGGGCGUAAAGCGUGCGCAGGCGGUUUUGUAAGUCUGUCGUGAAAUCCCCGGGC
This 579-nucleotide ribosomal RNA is filed under the name uncultured bacterium. RNAcentral's name for it is "bacterial SSU rRNA". It matches the Rfam family "Bacterial small subunit ribosomal RNA", at positions 28 to 608 of the family's 1533-position model. The record is from RNAcentral.